RNAcentral lists this ribosomal RNA (402 nucleotides) under Bacteroidota bacterium. Its description in RNAcentral is "Bacteroidetes bacterium partial 16S ribosomal RNA". It matches the Rfam family "Bacterial small subunit ribosomal RNA", at positions 355 to 776 of the family's 1533-position model. The record is from RNAcentral. Lineage: Bacteria; Pseudomonadati; Bacteroidota.
UGGGGAAUUUUGCACAAUGGGGGAAACCCUGAUGCAGCGACGCCGCGUGAUUUAGAAGGCCUUCGGGUUGUAAAAAUCUUUUGUAUAGGAAGAAAAUGACAGUACUAUACGAAUAAGGACCGGCUAAUUACGUGCCAGCAGCCGCGGUAAUACGUAAGGUCCGAGCGUUGUCCGGAAUCAUUGGGCGUAAAGGGUACGUAGGCGGGUAAGCAAGUUAGAAGUGAAAUCCUAUAGCUCAACUAUAGUAAGCUUUUAAAACUGCUUAUCUUGAGGUAUGGAAGGGAAAAUGGAAUUCCUAGUUUAACGGUGAAAUGCGCAGAUAUUAGGGGGAAUACCGGUGGCGAAGGCGACUUUCUGGCCAUAAUCUGACGCUGAGGUACGAAAGCGUGGGUAGCAAACAAG